CUGCAGUAGCAGUGCUUUCUCCUCUGCUCACGGGGACCCGCUCAGGCUGGAGGCCAGCCAGCUCUUGCCGCCGCCUCGGUCGCGAUGGGGGCGCAGGACCGGCCGCAGUGCCACUUCGACAUCGAGAUCAACCGGGAGCCGGGUGAGCUGGAAACUGGGGAGCGCUGCUGGGGCCGAGGCCUGCUUUGGCGAAGGGGAGGGGUCUACCCUCAGCAACCCUCCCCCCGGCCUUUUUGGGAGCGGGUAGGAGGCGCAGGCAACUUUCCGUUUUCUUUUGAGAGAGUAUCAGUGGAAGAGGAAGGUGGCCUGGGCACACCCCUAACUCGCAGUCCGGGCCUCUUCCUGCCAAACCCCACACACCCCGCUGCAUCUCCGGACUGAGUCCUCGUAGCCAGCCUGGCGCCAAGAAAAGGAGGUGCAGUUCUUUGAGGACUUUUUCUCUCCCAGUGUCUCCGUGAGGCAGACACUCCCGAUCCGAUUUCCGGUUAUCUUGCUCGGUGCUAUGAAGUUUCAACUAGUAGGAAAUAUUGUGUGUUUCCUAAUCACGAUAUGUCACUAAUAUGUUAACGUUGCCUCUAUUUUUCCUUAAGAAUCUUUAGCUAGAAUUUCGUGGUUCCUGGGAAAAUGGCUUAGUGAACGUCUUUUGUGAUAAACCAGAGCAUUUUGUACCAGCAGAAUUGCAGCAUGCAUGCACUUAGCAUUCAUGUUUGUCUUUAGGGAAUCUAGACAUUUGUUAGUGUAUUUUUUUUUUUUAAUGAAACAUUUCCUUCUAAAGCAUAGUUAUUUCAUUCUAAGUAGCAGAGCGUGCAGGGUUUCAAAGUGUUUUCUUAGCUUUUUUUGUUAUCCGUGACAAAAGUUUUAAUUGUAGGCAUAUGUAUAUAUAUGUUGUCUUUGUGCAACAUCUUGUUCUGCAUAUUCUCAUGAGAGCCUGCUACUGUUCUAGGGUCUGGAGAUAGAGCAGCGCGUAAAACAAAGGCCUCUUCCUUUUAUAGUUUAUAUUCUAUUGGGGGGAAGACGGACAACUAGGAAAAAAAUAACAGUGACUUGUAGGUGGGAUACUAUUUUAAUAAGUUGGUCAGACAAGGCCAUUUUGAGAAGAUGACAUUUAAGCAGGUAUCAGAAGGACAUGAAGUGAGCCGUAUUUAAGAAGAGCAUUGGUAGUAGAGGGAAACAGCACAGCCCUGAGGUGAGGAGUAGUGUACAGUCAGGCGCCAAAUAACAUUUCUGUCUCUAACAACGGUCUUAUAUAUAACACCUUUUUUUGGUAACUUUUUAAUGUUUAGCUGUGUUUAGAUAGACAAAUACUUCAUUGUGUUAAAGUUGCCUACGGUAUUCAGUGGAGUAACAUCCUGUACAGGUUUGUAGCCUAGGAGCAAAUAGACCAUAUAGCAUAGGUGUGUAGUAGGCCGUACCAUCUAGGUGUGUUUAAGUACAUUCCAUGAUGUUCACACAAUGACGAAAUUGCCUAAUUACACAUUUCUCAGAAUCCGUCCUGGUUAUUAAACAAUGGAGGACUGUACUUGCAUGUUUGAGGGACAGCAAGGUGCCCAGUGUGGCUGGAGUAGAACAGGGAAGAGAAUAGUAGGAAAUGGCCUGUAGGACUGACUCAGUGAGGUAGGAAGAUAUUAAAGGGUUUUGAGCAAAGGGAUGAGAUAAUCCUAGAAAUUUGGUUGCCUUCUCUCUCUCUCUUUAAUGUUUUUAGCCUUGAUUGAUCUUUUUUUUUUUUUUAAAUAAGUGUUACUAGAAAGCCUUGAUGGACCUUAAUCUUUAUUCUGUAGUGAAUCCAUGCUUCAGGUAACACGGUUAUUUUUUAUUAAGAAUUAAAAUAGCUCACGCCUGUAAUCCCAGCACUUUGGGAGGCAGACGCGGAUGGAUCAUUUUGAGAUCAGGAGUUCGAGACCAGCCUGGCCAACAUGGUGAAACCCCAUCUCUACAAAAAAAUACAAAAAUUAGCUGGGCAUGGUGUCUCUCUUAGUUUUUGCCUGUAGUCCCAGCUAUUUGGGAGGCUGAGGCUGAAGGAUUGCUUGAGCCUGGGAAGCAGAGGUUGCAGUGAGUAGAGAUUAUACCACUGCAUGUCAGCCUGGGUGACGGAGUGAGACCCUGUCUCCAAAAAAAAAAAAAAAAACAACAAAAGAAAAA
RNAcentral lists this small RNA (2139 nucleotides) under Pongo abelii (Sumatran orangutan). RNAcentral describes it as "retained intron". Lineage: Eukaryota; Metazoa; Chordata; Mammalia; Primates; Hominidae. The record is from RNAcentral.